This 66-nucleotide transfer RNA is filed under the name Ornebius kanetataki. RNAcentral's name for it is "tRNA-Leu". The record is from RNAcentral. Lineage: Eukaryota; Metazoa; Arthropoda; Insecta; Orthoptera; Mogoplistidae.
ACUAUUUUGACAGAAAAGUGUAAUAAAUUUAGAAUUUAUGAAUAUAGAAUUAAUCUAUAAAUAGUA